CCUACGGGCGGCAGCAGUGAGGAAUCUUGGUCAAUGGCCGAGAGGCUGAACCAGCCAAGUCGCGUGAGGGAAGACGGCCCUACGGGCUGUACACCUCUUUUGUCGUGGAGCAAAGCGAACCACGUGUGGUUCCUUGAGAUUACCCGAAGAAAAAGCAUCGUCUAACUCCGUGCCAGCAGCCGCGGUAAUACGGAGGGUGCGAGCGUUAUGCGGUUUUAUUGGGUUUAAAGGGUGCGCAGGCGGAGGUGCACGUCAGCGGUCAAAUUGCGGGGCUCAACCCCGUACUGCCGUUGAAACUGCAUCCCUUGAGUGCGCGAGAAGUAUGCGGAAUGCGAUGUGUAGCGGUGAAAUGCAUAGAUAUCACGCAGAACUCCGAUUGCGAAGGCAGCAUACCGGCGCGCAACUGACGCUCAUGCACGAAAGCGUGGGUAUCGAACAGGAUUAGAUACCCCUGUAGUC
This 459-nucleotide ribosomal RNA is filed under the name uncultured bacterium. RNAcentral describes it as "partial 16S ribosomal RNA". It matches the Rfam family "Bacterial small subunit ribosomal RNA", at positions 338 to 795 of the family's 1533-position model. The record is from RNAcentral.